RNAcentral lists this ribosomal RNA (267 nucleotides) under uncultured Staphylococcus sp. RNAcentral describes it as "partial 16S ribosomal RNA". It matches the Rfam family "Bacterial small subunit ribosomal RNA", at positions 96 to 355 of the family's 1533-position model. Lineage: Bacteria; Bacillati; Bacillota; Bacilli; Caryophanales; Staphylococcaceae. The record is from RNAcentral.
CGGCGGACGGGUGAGUAACACGUGGAUAACCUACCUAUAAGACUGGGAUAACUUCGGGAAACCGGAGCUAAUACCGGAUAAUAUAUUGAACCGCAUGGUUCAAUAGUGAAAGACGGUUUUGCUGUCACUUAUAGAUGGAUCCGCGCCGCAUUAGCUAGUUGGUAAGGUAACGGCUUACCAAGGCAACGAUGCGUAGCCGACCUGAGAGGGGUGAUCGGCCACACUGGAACUGAGACACGGUCCAGACUCCUACGGGAGGCAGCAGUC